This 460-nucleotide ribosomal RNA is filed under the name uncultured bacterium. RNAcentral's name for it is "partial 16S ribosomal RNA". It matches the Rfam family "Bacterial small subunit ribosomal RNA", at positions 338 to 795 of the family's 1533-position model. The record is from RNAcentral.
CCUACGGGCGGCAGCAGUGAGGAAUAUUGGUCAAUGGACGAGAGUCUGAACCAGCCAAGUAGCGUGAAGGAUGACUGCCCUAUGGGUUGUAAACUUCUUUUAUAUGGGAAUAAAACGUUCCACGUGUGGGAUUUUGUAUGUACCAUAUGAAUAAGGAUCGGCUAACUCCGUUCCAGCAGCCGCGGUAAUACGGAGGAUCCGAGCGUUAUCCGGAUUUAUUGGGUUUAAAGGGAGCGUAGGUGGAUUGUUAAGUCAGUUGUGAAAGUUUGCGGCUCAACCGUAAAAUUGCAGUUGAAACUGGCAGUCUUGAGUACAGUUGAGGUGGGCGGAAUUCGUGGUGUAGCGGUGAAAUGCUUAGAUAUCACGAAGAACUCCGAUUGCGAAGGCAGUUCACUGGACUGCAACUGACACUGAGGCUCGAAAGUGUGGGUAUCAAACAGGAUUAGAUACCCUUGUAGUC